This 656-nucleotide ribosomal RNA is filed under the name uncultured bacterium. RNAcentral describes it as "bacterial SSU rRNA". It matches the Rfam family "Bacterial small subunit ribosomal RNA", at positions 61 to 712 of the family's 1533-position model. The record is from RNAcentral.
GUCGAGCGGUAGAGAGGUGCUUGCACCUCUUGAGAGCGGCGGACGGGCGAGUAAAGCCUAGGAAUCUGCCUGGUAGUGGGGGAUAACGCUCGGAAACGGACGCUAAUACCGCAUACGUCCUACGGGAGAAAGCAGGGGACCUUCGGGCCUUGCGCUAUCGGAUGAGCCUAGGUCGGAUUAGCUAGUUGGUGAGGUAAUGGCUCACCAAGGCGACGAUCCGUAACUGGUCUGAGAGGAUGAUCAGUCACACUGGAACUGAGACACGGUCCAGACUCCUACGGGAGGCAGCAGUGGGGAAUAUUGGACAAUGGGCGAAAGCCUGAUCCAGCCAUGCCGCGUGUGUGAAGAAGGUCUUCGGAUUGUAAAGCACUUUAAGUUGGGAGGAAGGGCAUUAACCUAAUACGUUAGUGUUUUGACGUUACCGACAGAAUAAGCACCGGCUAACUCUGUGCCAGCAGCCGCGGUAAUACAGAGGGUGCAAGCGUUAAUCGGAAUUACUGGGCGUAAAGCGCGCGUAGGUGGUUCGUUAAGUUGGAUGUGAAAUCCCCGGGCUCAACCUGGGAACUGCAUUCAAAACUGUCGAGCUAGAGUAUGGUAGAGGGUGGUGGAAUUUCCUGUGUAGCGGUGAAAUGCGUAGAUAUAGGAAGGAACACCAG